AGUGAACGCUGGCGGUAGGCCUAACACAUGCAAGUCGAACGGCAGCACAGUAAGAGCUUGCUCUUACGGGUGGCGAGUGGCGGACGGGUGAGGAAUACAUCGGAAUCUACUUUUUCGUGGGGGCUAACGUAGGGAAACUUACGCUAAUACCGCAUACGACCUACGGGUGAAAUCAUGGGAUCUUCGGACCUUGCGCGAUUGAAUGAGCCGAUGUCGGAUUAGCUAGUUGGCGGGGUAAAGGCCCACCAAGGCGACGAUCCGUAGCUGGUCUGAGAGGAUGAUCAGCCACACUGGAACUGAGACACGGUCCAGACUCCUACGGGAGGCAGCAGUGGGGAAUAUUGGACAAUGGGCGCAAGCCUGAUCCAGCCAUACCGCGUGGGUGAAGAAGGCCUUCGGGUUGUAAAGCCCUUUUGUUGGGAAAGAAAAGCAGUAGGUUAAUACCCCGCUGUUCUGACGGUACCCAAAGAAUAAGCACCGGCUAACUUCGUG
Molecule: ribosomal RNA, 492 nt
Filed under: uncultured bacterium
Lineage: Bacteria
Description: partial 16S ribosomal RNA
Rfam family: Bacterial small subunit ribosomal RNA
Source: RNAcentral